This 328-nucleotide unclassified non-coding RNA is filed under the name Hevea brasiliensis (rubber tree). Lineage: Eukaryota; Viridiplantae; Streptophyta; Magnoliopsida; Malpighiales; Euphorbiaceae. The record is from RNAcentral.
GAAAAAAUUUGGCGAGUUUUCCACUGAUCAUGUUCCCUGGUUAACUCGGCGAGUCCUAAUAAAAUGGUGGGAUAAAUGUGACUUCUUUGAGUCAUCUUCUGUUUACUCCUCCAAAGGACUUAUCCACUUGGCUAAAAAGCCAUCUGUAUCUAGCUCAUCUGUCUCAUCAAACUUAUCAAAAUUAUUUAAAGAUCUUCUCAAGUCAGUACCAAAAGACGAGCUUCGCCGACAGCUUUUUGAUGCAUUAUCAGAAGACGACAAAGAAGCCGGCUCAAAAGCAAAAGAUACCGCAGAAUGCUCCAAAGCACGCCGAAAGGAUGACAGCGAC